CGACAAGGAGAGCUGAACUUGGGGAGCAAGAAGCCCCGAAAGAUCCUACCUGGAUUCCAAACAUUACCUAAUGGCUCUUCACGCAAGCUAUGGGUAACGUGGGAAUUAGCUGUCAUGAUGCUACCAGCAAAAGACUGUGGACUUGUCCCAUCCAUUGGUAAACUGCUGGCAUCUUCCUUGAUUGAAGGUGAAUCUGGAGUAACUGUUCUUUUGGUAAAUGCUGGAAAGGCAAGAGAAAAGACAAAAAUAAACCUAAAUGAAUAAAAUCCUUGGGCUGACAAAAUUUAUCUAGAAUUCUGAAUUAAAGAUGAUUAAAAGUGUUAUCUUCAUAGGUGAGUUUCUCCACAGUCUUUCCUAAUGCUCUUGUUGAGUAAAUUAUUGGGCAGAGUAAAAGUAUGGUGCUUAUUACAGAGAACUAGGUUUGGUAGAGUGGGGCUCAAGUAGGUUAAAAAAAUUAAUGUGCUCAUCUAAGUAUCUUGUUGAUUCCUAAAGAAGCACCUUUGACCCAUUGCUAUUUUCAAAUUUUAUAACAAAGAAAAACCCCAACUCAUUUGGCAACCUUUUGUUUAGCUUUUAAGAGCUAGAUGAAAUGAACCAGUUAAAUAUUAUGGCUGGCAAGUUACU
Long non-coding RNA from Herpailurus yagouaroundi (jaguarundi), 624 nucleotides. RefSeq lists it as uncharacterized. The transcript is spliced from 4 exons. The record is from RefSeq and is a predicted model, not a curated record. NCBI's taxonomy places the organism in Eukaryota, Metazoa, Chordata, Mammalia, Carnivora, Felidae.